This is a long non-coding RNA of Hemicordylus capensis (graceful crag lizard), 1716 nucleotides long. RefSeq lists it as uncharacterized. Lineage: Eukaryota; Metazoa; Chordata; Lepidosauria; Squamata; Cordylidae. The record is from RefSeq and is a predicted model, not a curated record. The transcript has 5 exons.
UGAUGCAAGUUUGCCACUCAUGGGAUAAGAAAUGCAAAGCAAAUGCUUCGCUUACUCAGUUAUGGCUCCUCAAAAAUAAUGGUGGUGGGGUGAAGAGAGGCAGCUGCAGAGUGGAGCGGAGAAGAUGUGACUGGGUCAAAAAGGGGACUCUGUAGAAGGAAAGCAGAGCUGCAAAGAGACACUGAAAGAAGACAUCCUAUGAAAUGGUUCACUUGUAUCAUAGCCACAAAUGCCAUUGCCGUAUUGUCAGCAUUCAGUGGCCACAACAAUCCAGCCUCCAGAAUCCCAAUUUUCAGUUAUAGUCUGGUGAUGCGAGUAAUACAGAGCUUGCUGAGAUGCAGCCCCGGCAGACCAGGAACAGAGAGGAGUCCUUCUGCCCAGCUUGCAAAACCACAGUUGAUCGAUCGUCUGCAGAAUUAUUUCCAGCUUCACAGAUUAGCCUCUGGUUCAUCUACCCAAGCUUUCAUGCUAUGUCCAAACGGGACCAAGGGAUAUGGAAAUUUGCACAGCAGAUGAGAUCGGAUGUAAAUGAGAUCUGAGCCAAUUUUCACUGUGUUCUUCAUCGGGAGAUGCACAAUACGAAGUGAUUUAUUGCUGGAAUACAACUCUGACAACCACAAACCUGUCAAUCUGGACAGAAACAGGAAUGUUUUGAGAACACCAAAAGGGAAACAGCCCCAUCUGAGUGAGUAAACAAGUGCUGAAAACGGACCCCAAGAACAGUAGACUCCUAGACCAAGUAUGGUGAAAGUCCGUGAAGGGGAACCAAAGUUGCUGAUAUCAGAUUGGGGACACAGGACACGAUAUGACUGGUUUUGAUAUGAAAUAUGAAUCACAGGCCGGGAGGAAGGUAUAAAGAGGGGCACACCCUCACACGAGGGGAGGGGAGGCAUGGUCUCACUCUUGGGAGGGGUAGCAUGUAGCCCUUAACGUGUGUCUAGCAGAUUGCUUGAAUUGCCCCAGUCUCUAAGAUUAGAGGGAAUUCCAUUCCUGCAUAUUCGAUUGCCCUGCAAGGCCACCUGGACAGGUGGAAGCCUCCCUGCGCACUCAAGACCUUCAUUCCUAAAACCAAUGCUAGCCUACGGACACAGUAAUUAUACUGCAGUGCAGAUGUGCCUUCAGUCCAGUAUCUUCUAAACUAACAUCCCAGCCCAAUCCCCCCUUGUCCUAUGGAUCCCUUUCCCUCCCCUUCUGCUUCCCGGAAAAGUCUCUCUUUCUCCUUAAGCUUGACAGCUGUCAGUAAGACAGCGUAUCUGCUUCAGUCCGUCUUUCCCUGCCCCUCCUCUCUCUCUCUCUCUCUCUCUCUCUCUCUCUCUCUCUCUCUCUCUCUCUCUCUCUCUGCUGUCAGUCUGUUCACUCUGGACUGCUGGCCUGAAGCCAGAAUGAGCAUCUCCUCCCUCCUCUGUGUUUCCUUCUCCUCCAUUUCCCACCCCCCUCCUCUUUCUCACACCUGGAUUUUGCCCUCUUCUCUCUCCCCUCCCUCUCUUUGCUUAAAACUGAAACUGUUUAAUGUUGUGUCUUAGCUAAGGAACAGCAGCAACAUAUCACACACACACACACACACACACACACACACGGUUCACUGCUAGUGAGAGAGAAAAUGCUUUCUACUGCUAUUCAUUUCUAGUGAGGGGAAAUGAUUUUUAACUGUUGCUGAAGACAAUACACUAUGUUGGGGAGGAAAACAAAUUGAUUGAUUUUGCUUGCGUGCUUAAU